This is an RNA transcript of Bombus pascuorum, 3275 nucleotides long. It is a transcript of the gene named calcium and integrin-binding protein 1-like, with no coding region annotated. The transcript is spliced from 7 exons. The record is from RefSeq and is a predicted model, not a curated record. Lineage: Eukaryota; Metazoa; Arthropoda; Insecta; Hymenoptera; Apidae.
AAUAAUAAUUUUCAUAUCUUUCACAUAAACCAAUUUGUAGUAACGAAAUUGAUAUUUUUAGAUUCCUGUUAUACGAUAUGAAUCGAUAUUUAUUUAAAAAACAGUAUAUUUAUUCAUUGUGGAUAUCAUCUUGUAUUAUCUGCAGAUGAAUAGUAUUCUCUUUAGAUAAAAGAAAUUUAUCGAUCGUUUGAGGCGCUAAAGACAAGGAUAACAUUAAUAUAGGAGAUCAUAAAUCUAAUGCUUUAAAAAAAUAAAUAUUAUUGAUUAGUAAUUGUGUAGGGGGUAGUAAAGUAAUUUUUGAGUUCCAUAAAAGAUGGGAGUAGGUAAAAGUCAAUUUUCUGAAGAAGAGUUACAAGAUUACCAGGAUUUGACAUAUUUUACGAAAAAAGAAGUUCUGCAUGCACAUCAAAAGUUUAAAGCGCUUGCCCCAGAGAAGGUUGGUCAUAAUAGAAAUGCAAAACUUCCAAUGUCUAAAAUCUUACAAUAUCCUGAAUUAAGAGCAAAUCCUUUCGGAGACCGGAUUUGUAAAGUUUUUAGUUCUAGUCAAGAUGGAGAUUGUACGUUUGAAGAUUUUUUAGACAUGAUGUCUGUUUUUAGUGACGCAGCUCCAAAAGCUGUAAAAGCAGAACAUGCUUUCAGAAUAUUCGAUUUUGAUGGAGAUGAUAUGCUUGGUAUUGGAGAUUUAAGACAAGUUGUAGAUAGACUUACUGCUCCACAAAGAUUAAACGAGACAGAUAUGCAACAGGUUCUCCAAUAUAUACUUGAUGAAGCAGAUUUGGAUGAUGAUGGUGCACUUAGCUUUGCUGAAUUUGAACAUAUUAUAGAAAAAAGUAGUGAUUUUUCAAAGAGCUUUUGCAUACGUUUAUGAGACAUAAAGUAUUGAUGAGAAGAAUAGUAGAAAGGCAACAUAAGACUGAAUAUUAUAUUAAUAUCGAGACACUUCAAUAUAGUCAAUAGGCCUAAUAAUUUUUACCAUAAAAAAGUAAUUCUGAGAAUUUAAAAAGUGUAUUAAUGUUUCCUGAAGGCCUACUACGUGCUAAAAUUAGUUUCCUUCUUCCAACAUUACAUUAUAGAAUAUUUUACUAUCAUAAAUUAAUGAUGUUGUCGUAUGUAGUGAAAGAUCAGGGAGAUCAGGAAAAUAUUUGUAUUGGAUCACCCGGAAAGUUCGUUCCGAUCUUUGAGGAAUUUGGUGGACAUGAAAGAUCAUAUUGAAAAGUUUUUUGCCGAAAAACCUAAGAGGUUCUGAAAGGAUGGAAUAUUCAAGUUGCGUGGAAGAUGGAGAAAGGUUGUGAAACAAAAUGACACCUAUAUAAUUCAAUAAAUGUAUAUCGAAUCGAAAUGUAAAUCGGAUCGAACUUUCCAGGCGACCCAAUACUUGUACACAGCGAUUGUACUUAACGUUAUUUUUUUGAAUUCACGUAACAGCAAGUUUAAAUAACUUUGGGAUACUAAAUACUAUAAGUUUAUGUAUCCAUCUUGGAGUUGACUAUACAUUUAUCUAAAAAAAUGCCUUACAGACCUUACAGACAUUUCUUACUCAUAAAAAAAUAUUUAUCACGAAAUGUCUCUGAAAUGUCUCAAAAGUUUCUGUAUAACAAUAGUUUGAUAUAAUCACAAGGAGAAAAUAUGAUGAAGAGUCCUGUAUGUGAUGUAAGAUUCUCAAACGAUGAUACAUACCAGCAGCUUACUUUGUACAAGUCAUAGAGAAUAAUAAAUGUUCAAUAAGAUUAAACAAUAAAUAUUGCUGCAUUUUGUAAGAAGAAUCAUAGAAAAUACACGAAUUAUGAAAAAUGGUAGAUUACAUAAUAAUGGUGGUUACAUAAUACAAUAUAAUAUUCAUCUACCUUCGCACUUGAAUGAAAUAAAAAGGUUGAAAAUAAGAAGAAUGCGAAAGAAAUUAAGCAGAUAUUAAAGGCUUAAUUGAUUAACUAUGAAUUAAUUUACAACUAAAUGAUACCUGAGAAGUUGCUUUAAAAUAAGGAUAGAAUUUGAUAAAGAUCAAGGAUAUCCAUAGAAACAAAUCUAUCCCUUAAAUCUUUUGCUUUCUUUGUCUGUAUAUCCUGCAUUGUUAAUUCAUAUGCUGUUAAAAUAUCCAAUGACAAUGUAAGACAAACAAUAGGGAAUGGAAGAAAAUUUAAAAAUUAAAGUAAAAGAAACACCAUAAAAUAUAAUGAAAAAUGAAUGAAAAAUAAAUGAAGAAUGAUUGACACAUGCAACGAAUACAUACAGUGUAUACUAUCUCAGAAUUGAUGAUUGUUACUAAUAUAGUGAAAGGUUUAAAAUGAUACUUAAAGUGCAUCAUAAUAACUGAAGAAUCGGUCUGAUGAAAGCUAUCCUACAUCAUCAGAAAUAAUAGAGUUUCUCAAAGAGUAAUAUAAAAGUGGAACGAAAGUGGUGAGGUAAUAAAAAUAAGCUCAUAAUUUACUAACAAAAUACGAUUGAGACAAUAUAAUACAUGUUACUAUAACAAGGUAGAAAGGUCAGUAGAACACAGAAUAAAUAAUGAGACAAUCGUUUGUACAUUGAUGGUUUUCAGAGCAAAAAAUGAUUAGGGAUCGGUUCUGUGAUUAAUCUGGUGCCUUGGAACAAAGCGACACAAUUACAUGAAGAAAUAAAAUUCAUAUUCAGCUUUCACACGAGCACAGGGUGGUUGAAGCGGUUUAAAAAUCGUCAUUCCAUUCAUCACGUAUCCAUAGUAUGCAUUCACAGCGAAAAGUGAGAUACUGAUAAAACGACAGUCAAUUAUUUCAUGCUACAUUUAUUACUAUACUUGAGCAGCACUCUCAACUUCAUAAUAUCUACAAUAUGGAUAAAACUGAAUUGACGUAAAAGUAUAAUUAUCGUUUUAUAAUUAUUAUUACAUUAGUCUUUUAUUAACAGUCGAAUUAAUAGAUGGUAACAAUUUAAAAAUGUAAUAUAUUAUAUAUAUUAUACGAACGUAAAAAGCAUUUAAUGUUUGCAUGAAAUAAUAUAUGUAACAUAUGUAAUGUAAAUAUAGUAAUAAUAUUGUAAAUAUAUGUAACCCUUACAAGGUCACUAUUUUAUUUUUAGAAUUUCAAAAAAGUGCUUCCUGUAUAUGUCCUGUGAUUUCAGAUCGUAUUUAUCAUACGAUUUAAAAUGUAUUAAGAACAUUACAUCAUUAGCAGUAAAAUGUAAAUAAACAUAGAAUUUAUUUUAGUAGGUAAUUUUUAUUAAUAACAAAAUAAAAUUAUGACUAGGUGGUAAUAACUACAUAUGUAAUUGUAAAAAAUAAAACUGAGGUUAACCCCGCGAAC